RNAcentral lists this ribosomal RNA (253 nucleotides) under uncultured bacterium. RNAcentral describes it as "partial 16S ribosomal RNA". It matches the Rfam family "Bacterial small subunit ribosomal RNA", at positions 524 to 776 of the family's 1533-position model. The record is from RNAcentral.
UACGUAGGGGGCAAGCGUUGUCCGGAUUUAUUGGGCGUAAAGAGCGUGUAGGCGGCCGCACAGGUCCGUUGUGAAAACUGGAGGCUUAACCUUCAGACGUCGAUGGAAACCGUGCGGCUAGAGUCCGGAAGAGGAGAGUGGAAUUCCUGGUGUAGCGGUGAAAUGCGCAGAUAUCAGGAAGAACACCCGUGGCUAAGGCGGCUCUCUAGUACGGUACUGACGCUGAGACGCGAAAGCGUGGGGAGCGAACAGG